UCUGGCUACACCAGGGGUUCCCAAACUUUUCCAGGGCAAGGCCCCCAAAUGGCAUUAACAUUUGACCGAGGCCCCCCUUUUGCAAGAUGUCUUUAAAACACAUUAAAAAUACAGACUUCUGAAUAUAUACCCCUUUUUUAUGAAUAAUUACAUCUUACAUCUUUACAUUACAUUACAUUAGGAAUUGAUUAUGUGUGUGUGUGUGUGUGUGUGUGUGUGUGUAUGUGUGUGUGUGGUUGUCUGAGAGUGAGAAAGAGACAACAUACUAGUGGGAGGGAUGGGCACACCAAAUUGUUGAGGCCCCCACUUUGAAAACCACUAGGCUACACUAAGCAUGGAAUGAAAUUCCUACAAAGUUUCUUUAGGGUGAAUUGAGAAUGAGUCUUUCGGACCCUUUCCCUGAUGGCUACGGUUCUGCCAAUUUCACGAUGCGAGUAGAAAAGCAAAUCGUGGAAGGUAACCAGGGAAACCAGAGGGACCUCCAACCUCUAUUCGGAAACUUCCCAGAUGGACAAAGCUCCAUUUCCAGAGAAUCUGAAGAUGAAGGAUGUUACUACCUACCCAGGAGCAGUCCUGUCAUAUCCCGCCGUCAAGCAA
Ictalurus furcatus (blue catfish) is the source of this 597-nucleotide long non-coding RNA. RefSeq lists it as uncharacterized. The record is from RefSeq and is a predicted model, not a curated record. Lineage: Eukaryota; Metazoa; Chordata; Actinopteri; Siluriformes; Ictaluridae. The transcript has 3 exons.